This 263-nucleotide ribosomal RNA is filed under the name uncultured bacterium. Its description in RNAcentral is "partial 16S ribosomal RNA". It matches the Rfam family "Bacterial small subunit ribosomal RNA", at positions 526 to 779 of the family's 1533-position model. The record is from RNAcentral.
CAGAGGGUGCGAGCGUUAAUCGGAUUUACUGGGCGUAAAGCGUGCGUAGGCGGCUUUUUAAGUCGGAUGUGAAAAUACCCCGACGCUUAACUUUAGGGAAGUUGUCAUUCGUAUACUGGGAAGGCUAGAGUAUGGGAGAGGAUGGUAGAAUUCCAGGUGUAGCGGUGAAAUGCGUAGAGAUCUGGAGGAAUACCGAUGGCGAAGGCAGCCAUCUGGCCUAAUACUGACGCUGAGGUACGAAAGCAUGGGGAGCAAACAGGAUU